GCGGAAGUUUUCGGAUAGAAGCGUGUAUGACUGAGCGGCGGACGGGUGAGUAACGCGUGGGUAACCUGCCUCAUACAGGGGGAUAACAGUUAGAAAUGACUGCUAAUACCGCAUAAGCGCACAGGACCGCAUGGUCAAGUGUGAAAAACUCCGGUGGUAUGAGAUGGACCCGCGUCUGAUUAGCUGGUUGGUGAGGUAACGGCCCACCAAGGCGACGAUCAGUAGCCGACCUGAGAGGGUGGCCGGCCACAUUGGGACUGAGACACGGCCCAAACUCCUACGAGAGGCAGCAGUGGGGAAUAUUGCACAAUGGGGGAAACCCUGAUGCAGCAACGCCGCGUGAGUGAAGAAGUAUUUCGGUAUGUAAAGCUCUAUCAGCAGGGAAGAAGAAAGACGGUACCUGACUAAGAAGCCCCGGCUAACUACGUGCCAGCAGCCGCGGUAAUACGUAGGGGGCAAGCGUUAUCCGGAUUUACUGGGUGUAAAGGGAGCGUAGACGGCAUAGCAAGUCUGAAGUGAAAGCCCGUGGCUCAACCGCGGAACUGCUUUGGAAACUGUUAAGCUGGAGUACUGGAGAGGCAAGCGGAAUUCCUAGUGUAGCGGUGAAAUGCGUAGAUAUUAGGAGGAACACCAGUGGCGAAGGCGGCUUGCUGGACAGAGACUGACGUUGAGGCUCGAAAGCGUGGGGAGCAAACAGGAUUAGAUACCCUGGUAGUCCACGCGGUAAACGAUGAAUGCUAGGUGUUGGCGGGCAAAGCCCGUCGGUGC
Molecule: ribosomal RNA, 768 nt
Filed under: uncultured bacterium
Lineage: Bacteria
Description: bacterial SSU rRNA
Rfam family: Bacterial small subunit ribosomal RNA
Source: RNAcentral